GCCAAAAAUCUAGCCUAAAAAUUCACCCAUGAUACUAAUCUCCAAUAAAAAUUAAAUAAAACAUUUUAACUCUAUAGUAGAGGUGAUCAAAAAAUUUCUUUAGAGCUUCAAACCAAGUACCACAAGGGAAAGAUGAAAUAAAAAUGAAAUAAUCUCCAAGCAUAAAGUAGUAGAGCUUCCUCCUCGUACCUUUUGCAUCAUGGUCUAGUUAGUCUAAUUAAGCAAAAUGAAUUUUUAGUUUAACCCCCCGAAACUAGGUGAGCUACUUCGAAACAGCCAUAAGAGCAAACCCAUCUCUGUUGCAAAAGAGUGGGAAGAUUUCUAAGUAGAGGCGACAAACCUACCGCACCAAGAGAUAGCUGGUUACUCAAGAAAAGAAUUUUAGUUCUACCUUAAGUUUAUUCCGGUUUAUUUAAACCUUAACAAAACUUAAGAGCUAUUCAAAUAGGGCACAGCUUAUUUGAAAAAGGAUACAACCUACUAUAUUGGGUAAAAAUUUUAGAGAAAUAUUAAGUGGGCCUAAAAGCAGCCAUCUUUUAAAAAGCGUUAAAGCUUUAUAAUUAAUCUUUAAAAAUAACCUAACCAUCUUUUAACCCAUUAUCAAUAUUGAGCAACUCCAUAAGUAUAUGAAAAAUCUAAUGCUAGAACUAGUAAUAAGAAGUAGAACUUCUCCAAAAUGCAAGCCUAAGCCACUUUAGACACCCUAUUGGCAAUUAACGUUUAUGACCCUAUUUUAUUAACACUUCAAGAAAAACCUAAAUACUAUAACGUUAAACUUACACCAGAACAUUUCUGGAAAGAUCAAAAGAGAAAGAAGGAACUCGGCAAAUUUUAACCUCGCCUGUUUACCAAAAACAUCGCCUCUUGCUUAAAUAUAAGAGGUCCAGCCUGCCCAGUGACAAAGUUCAACGGCCGCGGUACCCUAACCGUGCGAAGGUAGCAUAAUCACUUGUUCUUUAAAUGAGGACUUGUAUCAAUGGCAUCACGAGGGUUAAGCUGUCUCCUUUCCCAAAUCAAUGAAACUAAUCUCUCCGUGAAGAAGCGGGGAUAAACUUAUAAGACGAGAAGACCCCAUGGAGCUUUAAACCCAGCUACACCCCCGCUUAAUUAUACUUUUUAAUCUUUAAGGUCCUGUAUUACUGGUUUUAGGUUGGGGUGACCACGGAGCACAAAACAGCCUCCAUAAUGAAUAGACCUUAUCUUUAUCCAUGAGCUACACCUCUAAGAAUUAGAAUUCUAACAUAAAAUGAUCCGAUAUUCGAUCAACGAACCAAGUUACCCUGGGGAUAACAGCGCAAUCCACUUCAAGAGCCCCUAUCGACAAGUGGGUUUACGACCUCGAUGUUGGAUCAGGGUAUCCCAGUGGUGCAGCAACUACUAAAGGUUCGUUUGUUCAACGAUUAAAACCCUACGUGAUCUGAGUUCAGACCGGAGCAAUCCAGGUCGGUUUCUAUCUAUAAAGAGUUACUCCUAGUACGAAAGGACCGAAGUAACAUGGCCUAUGCAUAAACAAGCCAUCCUAUCUACAUCAAUGAACUCAACUCAAUUGUUCAUAAUCUAUAAUUACCCCUAGACAAGGGUUU
RNAcentral lists this ribosomal RNA (1583 nucleotides) under Guibemantis tornieri. RNAcentral's name for it is "16S ribosomal RNA". It matches the Rfam family "Bacterial large subunit ribosomal RNA". Lineage: Eukaryota; Metazoa; Chordata; Amphibia; Anura; Mantellidae. The record is from RNAcentral.